AGACCAUGAUAUGGAUAUUUCCUUUGCAAUUCUUUAAACCUCUCCUAGGCUUUAUACAAAAAUUUACCGUCAAACUGAACAAAACUGGUUCUAUCAUUUCUAAGUUU
This is a small nucleolar RNA of Carya illinoinensis, 107 nucleotides long. The record is from RefSeq and is a predicted model, not a curated record. Lineage: Eukaryota; Viridiplantae; Streptophyta; Magnoliopsida; Fagales; Juglandaceae.